Molecule: ribosomal RNA, 423 nt
Filed under: uncultured Bacteroides sp.
Lineage: Bacteria; Pseudomonadati; Bacteroidota; Bacteroidia; Bacteroidales; Bacteroidaceae
Description: partial 16S ribosomal RNA
Rfam family: Bacterial small subunit ribosomal RNA
Source: RNAcentral
UGAGGAAUAUUGGUCAAUGGGCGAGAGCCUGAACCAGCCAAGUAGCGUGAAGGAUGAAGGCUCUAUGGGUCGUAAACUUCUUUUAUAGGGGAAUAAAGUGAGCCACGCGUGGCUUUUUGUAUGUACCCUAUGAAUAAGGAUCGGCUAACUCCGUGCCAGCAGCCGCGGUAAUACGGAGGAUCCGAGCGUUAUCCGGAUUUAUUGGGUUUAAAGGGAGCGUAGGUGGAAAUCUAAGUCAGUUGUGAAAGUUUGCGGCUCAACCGUAAAAUUGCAGUUGAUACUGGGUUUCUUGAGUACAGUAGAGGUGGGCGGAAUUCGUGGUGUAGCGGUGAAAUGCUUAGAUAUCACGAAGAACUCCAAUUGCGAAGGCAGCUCACUAGACUGGUCACUGACACUGAGGCUCGAAAGUGUGGGUAUCAAACA